Non-coding RNA from Rattus norvegicus (Norway rat), 3124 nucleotides. The record is from RefSeq and is a predicted model, not a curated record. NCBI's taxonomy places the organism in Eukaryota, Metazoa, Chordata, Mammalia, Rodentia, Muridae.
UAAACUUGUUACUGCUGUUGGCACAGUAUUGAAUGAGAUGGCAAGAUUCGACAUUCUUAUGUAGUAUAACUGGGAAGAAACGAUCACCCAUCACUUGAGGAAGGGCAGGCUUCUAUUUUAUUAUGUGACUCUAUAAAAGUUUUUCUGGGAAUUUGUUGUAGAUGCUUUUCAAUAUCUCUUGCCUCUUAGGACCAUCACCAUCAUACUAGGCACAAAAGCCAAAGUGCCCUAAAGAAGACCUUGACCUAAGUUCAUGUCAAGAACACAAAACAGUGCUACUGACAGAGUCAGUGCCAAUUUUUGUAUGUCUCCAGUAAAAACUCUGUGGGUAAUUUGGUUUGGUGUGUCAAGGCUCAGUAUUCCUAAGAGCAACAAAGAUCUAGUCCAGAUCAAUACCUGCCGCAAGGCAUGUCAACAACCAUGCCAUUGUCUUACAAAUUGACAACCUGAGAAGCCAAGAGAGACUGAUGAAAGAAAGACUGAGGCAUUUUUCUUCUGGAUCUAGGAGGCUCUAAGGAGCAAAUAAGAGAGUGGAACCAAGGCAACAAAUAUCAGCGACUUUUUCCACACAGCUGGAGGUGGACUUGAAAAGGACACCCAGAGUUGAGUUUGCCUGUCUGCACAUCUGCAUAACCAUGGAAUCAUUAUUUGUUCUCUGGAUCUCUGUCCUCCCCCCCACCCCCCACUCCCUUUCUCCCUUUGUAGGGAAUGGAGAAGCCAGGGCCUCAUGCAUAUGGGUCAAAGCACUCCACCACUGAGUUUUCACACCUUUUUUUUUUUUCUUCUUACAACUUGUGAAGCUGGGUAAAAGUGGAUAAGAAACUGAUAAAUGUUCAAAAUUUUCUGCUACAUUUACUUCCAAAGGGCAAUAAGAUGGGAGUUACAAUUUAUGGACACAGAAAUUGAAACUGAAUUCAACCUGAAAGACCCUCGGAGUGGGGAGACCCUCACUCAAAUCUUGGGAUGACGCAACCCCCCAAGAACUCACACAAGACCGUCCUUGUUGUAAUCACAUGAGGUUUAUCGAUAGCAACCAGUGCACUGGGGUCGAGACUCGUAUCCCACGCAAGGGCAGUGGAGUUCGACCCCGAGAGGCUGGGAGUAGAGGUAUUUAAAGGGAGAAACCACAACCCGAGGGGGCAGGGAUGGCGUCAUUGGAAAGUGUGUAGAAUAACAGUGAAAAAUCACAAGGAAGAACUCUCUGUCCCGCAAGAUUGUUUCCUAGGAGAAGCUGUCUCCUACUUCUCAGAUUGUUUAACUUCAUGGUCCGCUAGUUCCUAGGAGAAGUUGUUUCCUGCUUCUCAAGAUUGCUGUCUAAGAUUUAUGGUCAACUAGUUUCUGGGAGAAAGCUGUUGAGCUGGCCAAUGUAAUUAUACAUUCUAUAGCCCUAGGAGAGGCUUCUUGGAACAUACAAUUCUGGGGCCUAACCUUUUUUUUUUUUUUUUCUGCUCUAAACUUUGUGUCUAGGGAGGCAACUUUAAAACUUUUACAUUUCAAACCCUGUGUGAGUCCCUUGAGGCAUCGUUAGCCUGAAAAAAGGAGGUCUUUGAUAAGAAAAAUAUAAAAUAUUACAGUCAUAUUGACCUGAGCUUUAUACUUUCUGCUUUUGAAAAAAGCUAUAACUCCAAUACUAUUAAAAUAAGCACCUAUAUUUUCUUCUGCUUUUGCAAGUAACGGAUAUUACAUUAAUUUCUAAUCAUUUUUUUUGCUUUGUUUUUUUCCUUUAUUGGAGUUUUUUUUUCCAUUUUAAAUGUUAUCCCCUUUCCCAAUUUUCCCUCCAGAAACCUGCUAUCCCAUCCCCUCACUCCUACUCCCAUCCUUCCCAUCCACCCACCACCCAUCCCCCACCCCUGACUUCCCACAGAUUCUAUGAGAUUGCUCCCUGACCCACUCACUCAUUCACUCCCACCUCCCUGUCCUGACAUUCCCCUAGAGUUGGGUAUCAAGCUUUGACAGGACCAAGGGCCUCUCCUCCUAUUGAUGCCCAACAAGGCCAUCCUCUGCCACAUAUGCAGAUGAAACCAUAGGUCUAUCCCUUUGUUUUCUUGGGAUGGUUGUUUCCAGUUUCUGGCUAUUAUGAAUGAGGUGUUAGGAACACAUUUGAGCAAUAGAUACUGGAGGUUGAUGGAAGGAAGGAAGUGGAUGGAAGAGGCAUGGGGAGGAGAGGGGUAUCAUAUGUAGGGAGAGCAGCAGAGGGAGAAGGGAAAUCGGGUGGGGGAGGAGGGCAAUCUCUAUGACAUGCCAGAGAUCUGGGAUAGAAGAGGUCCCAGAGAGUCUAUGGGGGCAACUCUAGCAGAGAUUCCUAGGAGUGGGGAAUAUGGAAGUGGCAACUUCCUGUAGCCAGGCAGGACUCCCAGUGAAAGGAUAAGAAUAACAGCCCACCCACAAAGCCUUUGAACCAAAAUGUGUCCCGCUUACAAGAUGAGCAAGGACAAAGAUAGAUCUGAGUCUGAGGGAAUGCCCAACCAAUGAGUCACCCAAGUUGAGACCCCAUGGGCAAGAACUAAUCUCUGACACUAUUAAUGAUACUCCAUUAUGCUUACAGACAGAAAUCUAUCAUAAUUGUCCUGUUAGAGGCUCUACCUAGGAGCCAAUGGGAAAGAAAAAUGUAGAGACUCACACCGAAACAUUAGAUGGAGCUCAGAGAGUCUUACAGAAAGGUUGGGAAAAUAAUGAGGGACCUGAAGAGCACAGGGACUCCACAGGAAGACCAAUAGACUCAAUUAACCUAAACCCUUGAGGGGGCUCCCAGAGACUAAAUCACCAACCAAAAAGUGAGCUUGGUCUGGACCUAGGACCCCUGCACCUAAGUAGCAGAUGAGCAGCUUAGUCUUCAUAUGUGUCCCCCAAAAACUAUGGCAGAGGCUGUCACUGAACCUGUUGCCUGCCUGUCUCUGGAUCCCAUGCCCUGAAAUGUCCAGCUUUGUCUGGCCUCAAUGGGAGAUGUUCCUAGUCCCACAUGAAUUGAUUGGGAUGGGGGUAGGGCACCCAGCGGAGGUCUUCCCCAUCUCAAAAGAGAAGUGGGAAGCAUAAUGGGAGAGGAUUUGUGUGAGGGGUACUGGGAAAAGAAGAAAGGCCAAUAUUGGGUUGUUUAAAUGAAUAAAUAAAUUCAUUAAAAAACGUU